This 382-nucleotide ribosomal RNA is filed under the name uncultured bacterium. RNAcentral's name for it is "bacterial SSU rRNA". It matches the Rfam family "Bacterial small subunit ribosomal RNA", at positions 28 to 402 of the family's 1533-position model. The record is from RNAcentral.
GACGAACGCUGGCGGCGUGCUUAACACAUGCAAGUCGAGCGGGAUCCAACCGGUGGCAACACCGGGGAAGAUCUAGCGGCGAACGGGUGAGUAACACGUGAGCAACCUGCCCCGAAGACUGGGAUAACACCGGGAAACCGGUGCUAAUACCGGAUGUCGUCAUUAGGCCGCAUGACCUGAUGAUGAAAGGAUUCAUCGCUUCGGGAGGGGCUCGCGGGCUAUCAGCNGUUGGUGGGGUAACGGCCUACCAAGGCGACGACGGCUAGCUGGUCUGAGAGGACGACCAGCCACACUGGGACUGAGACACGGCCCAGACUCCUACGGGAGGCAGCAGUGGGGAAUCUUGCGCAAUGGGCGAAAGCCUGACGCAGCAACGCCGCGU